RNAcentral lists this non-coding RNA (32 nucleotides) under Rattus norvegicus (Norway rat). Lineage: Eukaryota; Metazoa; Chordata; Mammalia; Rodentia; Muridae. The record is from RNAcentral.
UUCCUGCCUGUUAAAGGCAAUGCCUAUUCCUU